CGCAAUGGGCGAAAGCCUGACGGAGCACGCCGCGUGAGUGAUGAAGGGUUUCGGCUCGUAAACUCUGUUAUUAGGGAAGAACAAAUGUGUAAGUAACUGUGCACGUCUUGACGGUACCUAAUCAGAAAGCCACGGCUAACUACGUGCCAGCAGCCGCGGUAAUACGUAGGUGGCAAGCG
Molecule: ribosomal RNA, 179 nt
Filed under: uncultured Staphylococcus sp.
Lineage: Bacteria; Bacillati; Bacillota; Bacilli; Caryophanales; Staphylococcaceae
Description: partial 16S ribosomal RNA
Rfam family: Bacterial small subunit ribosomal RNA
Source: RNAcentral